RNAcentral lists this transfer RNA (74 nucleotides) under Clostridiaceae bacterium. RNAcentral describes it as "tRNA-Gln". It matches the Rfam family "tRNA". Rfam says of the family: Transfer RNA (tRNA) molecules are approximately 80 nucleotides in length. Their secondary structure includes four short double-helical elements and three loops (D, anti-codon, and T loops). Lineage: Bacteria; Bacillati; Bacillota; Clostridia; Eubacteriales; Clostridiaceae. The record is from RNAcentral.
UGCCGGAUUGUGUAAGGGUAGCACUACUGCCUCUGGAGCAGUCUGUCUGGGUUCGAAUCCUAGUCCGGCAGCCA